This 442-nucleotide ribosomal RNA is filed under the name uncultured bacterium. Its description in RNAcentral is "partial 16S ribosomal RNA". It matches the Rfam family "Bacterial small subunit ribosomal RNA", at positions 338 to 795 of the family's 1533-position model. The record is from RNAcentral.
CCUACGGGUGGCAGCAGUGGGGGAUAUUGCACAAUGGGGGAAACCCUGACGCAGCGACGCCGCGUGGGCGAAGAAGUAUUUCGGUAUGUAAAGCUCUAUCAGCAGGGAAGAAGAAAUGACGGUACCUGCGUAAGAAGCACCGGCUAAAUACGUGCCAGCAGCCGCGGUAAUACGUAGGGUGCAAGCGUUAUCCGGAUUUACUGGGUGUAAAGGGAGCGCAGGCGGGACUGCAAGUCUGAUGUGAAAGCCCGCGGCCCAACCGGGGGACUGCAUUGGAAACUACAGAGCUGGAGAGUCGGAGAGGUAGGCGGAAUUCCUGGUGUAGCGGUGAAAUGCGUAGAUAUUGGGAGGAACACCAGUGGCGAAGGCGGCCUACUGGACGGUGACUGACGCUGAGGCACGAAAGCGUGGGGAGCAAACAGGAUUAGAUACCCGGGUAGUC